Molecule: ribosomal RNA, 417 nt
Filed under: uncultured soil bacterium
Lineage: Bacteria
Description: bacterial SSU rRNA
Rfam family: Bacterial small subunit ribosomal RNA
Source: RNAcentral
AGAUUGAACGCUGGCGGUAUGCUUAACACAUGCAAGUCGAACGGCAGCACAGGGUAGCUUGCUAUCCGGGUGGCGAGUGGCGGACGGGUGAGUAACGCGUAGGAAUCUACCUUUUUGUGGGGGAUAACCCGGGGAAACUCGGGCUAAUACCGCAUACGCCCUACGGGGGAAAGCGGGGACCUUUGGGCCUCGCGCAAAAAGAUGAGCCUGCGUCCUAUCAGGUAGUUGGUGAGGUAAUGGCUCACCAAGCCGACGACGGGUAGCUGGUCUGAGAGGACGACCAGCCACACUGGGACUGAGACACGGCCCAGACUCCUACGGGAGGCAGCAGUGGGAAUAGUUGGACAAGUGGGGGCAACCCGUGAACUCCAGCAAGUACCGCGUCGGUGUAGAAGAAGGCCGUUCGGGUUAGUUAAA